AGCGAACGCUGGCGGCAGGCUUAACACAUGCAAGUCGAGCGGGCACCUUCGGGUGUCAGCGGCAGACGGGUGAGUAACACGUGGGAACGUACCCUUUGGUUCGGAACAACUCUGGGAAACUGGAGCUAAUACCGGAUACGCCCUUAUGGGGAAAGGUUUACCGCCGAAGGAUCGGCCCGCGUCUGAUUAGCUAGUUGGUGAGGUAACGGCUCACCAAGGCGACGAUCAGUAGCUGGUCUGAGAGGAUGAUCAGCCACACUGGGACUGAGACACGGCCCAGACUCCUACGGGAGGCAGCAGUGGGGAAUAUUGGACAAUGGGCGGCAAGCCUGAUCCAGCCAUGCCGCGUGAGUGAUGAAGGCCUUAGGGUUGUAAAGCUCUUUUGUCCGGGACGAUAAUGACGGUACCGGAAGAAUAAGCCCCGGCCUAACUUCGUGCCAGCCGCCGCGGUAAU
RNAcentral lists this ribosomal RNA (454 nucleotides) under uncultured bacterium. Its description in RNAcentral is "bacterial SSU rRNA". It matches the Rfam family "Bacterial small subunit ribosomal RNA", at positions 29 to 524 of the family's 1533-position model. The record is from RNAcentral.